RNAcentral lists this ribosomal RNA (403 nucleotides) under uncultured bacterium. RNAcentral's name for it is "bacterial SSU rRNA". It matches the Rfam family "Bacterial small subunit ribosomal RNA", at positions 355 to 775 of the family's 1533-position model. The record is from RNAcentral.
UAAGGAAUAUUGGACAAUGGGCGAAAGCCUGAUCCAGCCAUGCCGCGUGAGUGAUGAAGGCCUUAGGGUUGUAAAGCUCUUUUAGAUGGGAAGAUAAUGACUGUACCAUCAGAAUAAGCCCCGGCUAAAUUCGUGCCAGCAGCCGCGGUAAUACGAAUGGGGCAAGCGUUGUUCGGAAUCACUGGGCGUAAAGCGUGUGUAGGCGGUGUAUCAAGUCAGGAGUGAAAUCCCAGGGCUCAACCCUGGAAUUGCUCUUGAAACUGAUACGCUAGAGUACUGGAGAGGUUAGCAGAAUUCCGAGUGUAGAGGUGAAAUUCGCAGAUAUUCGGAGGAAUACCAGUGGCGCAAGCGGCUAACUGGACAGUAACUGACGCUGAGACACGAAAGCGUGGGGAUCAAACAG